Canis lupus familiaris (dog) is the source of this 392-nucleotide long non-coding RNA. RefSeq lists it as uncharacterized. Lineage: Eukaryota; Metazoa; Chordata; Mammalia; Carnivora; Canidae. The record is from RefSeq and is a predicted model, not a curated record. The transcript is spliced from 2 exons.
CUGAACAAACCUCAUGUAGAUAGUAUGAAAUAUACUAAGUCACUUUGGGACCAAAUAUUCCCCCUGUGAUCGGAACUUUGAGUUGAUCUAGAUUGUUGAUUCUGUCAAGGGAGCAUAAAAAUCAUGAGGCCUUCCCUCUCUCCCUGCUUAACCACCAAGGUAGAAGCAAGUGACUCUCCACUGUUAUAUGACCUUCAUAUUAUUCUACUCAGCCAACAGAUAUUUAUUAACAGGUUCUGGAGCCAGCCUGCCUGAGUGUGAAUCCCAACACACCACGUGUACCAGCCAUUGACCUCGGCAAUACAAUCAACCUACAACGUCUCUUCAGAUACACUGGUGAGAUGAAAAUGUUACUGUUCUUAGGACAAUAAAUACUUCAGCAGGAAAAAAAA